Molecule: ribosomal RNA, 223 nt
Filed under: Photobacterium damselae
Lineage: Bacteria; Pseudomonadati; Pseudomonadota; Gammaproteobacteria; Vibrionales; Vibrionaceae
Description: partial 16S ribosomal RNA
Rfam family: Bacterial small subunit ribosomal RNA
Source: RNAcentral
UUAAUUGAAGAGUUUGAUCAUGGCUCAGAUUGAACGCUGGCGGCAGGCCUAACACAUGCAAGUCGAGCGGCAGCGACUUAACUGAACCUUCGGGGAACGUUAAGGGCGGCGAGCGGCGGACGGGUGAGUAAUGCCUGGGAAUAUGCCCUGAUGUGGGGGAUAACUAUUGGAAACGAUAGCUAAUACCGCAUAAUCUCUUCGGAGCAAAGAGGGGGACCUUCGG